GUAGGUGGCAAGCGUUGUCCGGAAUUAUUGGGCGUAAAGCGCGCGCAGGUGGUUCUUUAAGUCUGAUGUGGAAGCCCCCGGCUCAACCGGGGAGGGUCAUUGGAAACUGGGGAACUUGAGUGCAGGAGAGGAAAGUGGAAUUCCACGUGUAGCGGUGAAAUGCGUAGAUAUGUGGAGGAACACCAGUGGCGAAGGCGACUUUCUGGCCUGUAACUGACACUGAGGCGCGAAAGCGUGGGGAGCAAACAGGGAUUAGAUACCCUGGUAGUCCACGCCGUAAACGAUGAGUGCUAAGUGUUGGGGGGGUUUCCCGCCCCUCAGUGCUGCAGCUAACGCAUUAAGCACUCCGCCUGGGGAGUACGGUCGCAAGACUG
RNAcentral lists this ribosomal RNA (374 nucleotides) under uncultured organism. RNAcentral's name for it is "partial 16S ribosomal RNA". It matches the Rfam family "Bacterial small subunit ribosomal RNA", at positions 527 to 896 of the family's 1533-position model. The record is from RNAcentral.